UCAGCAGCCGCGGUAAUACGUAGGUGGCAAGCGUUGUCCGGAUUUACUGGGCGUAAAGAGCGCGCAGGCGGUCGAUUAAGUCGAAUGUGAAAGCCCCCGGCUCAACUGGGGAGGGUCAUUCGAUACUGGUCGACUUGAAGGCAGGAGAGAGAAGCAGAAUUCCCGGUGUAGUGGUGAAAUGCGUAGAUAUCGGGAGGAAUACCAGUGGCGAAGGCGGCUUCUUGGCCUGUUCUUGACGCUGAGGCGCGAAAGCUGGGGGAGCAAACGGGAUUAGAUACCCCGGUAGUCCCAGCCGUAAACGAUGGACACUAGGUGUUGGUGGUAUCAACCCCGCCAGUGCCGUAGCUAACGCAUUAAGUGUCCCGCCUGGGGAGUACGGCCGCAAGGCUAAAACUCAAAGGAAUUGACGGGGGCCCGCACA
Molecule: ribosomal RNA, 421 nt
Filed under: uncultured bacterium
Lineage: Bacteria
Description: bacterial SSU rRNA
Rfam family: Bacterial small subunit ribosomal RNA
Source: RNAcentral